Ipomoea nil (Japanese morning glory) is the source of this 232-nucleotide long non-coding RNA. RefSeq lists it as uncharacterized. The transcript has 2 exons. The record is from RefSeq and is a predicted model, not a curated record. NCBI's taxonomy places the organism in Eukaryota, Viridiplantae, Streptophyta, Magnoliopsida, Solanales, Convolvulaceae.
AUACACAGUAAAAUGAUAAACUUAACAGUACAUUAAUGCUCUGGCAAAAUUAAAUAAUACAAAUUCGGCUACGAGAUUUAAGGUGUAACUUUUUUUGAUAGUAAACUACACCUCUUUUCAAGUAAAUUCAAACCUUAUCAUUCUCGUCCCUUAUAAGAUGUAUCAAAAGAAACAGAGAAGUACUGAUCAUUUAAUGUUUCUAAUCAGAAUCAAGGGUGAAUGAACAUAAUAA